UACAGAGGUCCCAAGCGUUGUUCGGAUUCACUGGGCGUAAAGGGUGCGUAGGUGGCCGGUUAAGUCUGACGUGAAAUCUCCGAGCCUAACUCGGAAACUGCAUCGGAAACUAUCCGGCUCGAGGGUUGGAGGGGGGACUGGAAUACUUGGUGUAGCAGUGAAAUGCGUAGAUAUCAAGUGGAACACCAGUGGCGAAGGCGAGUCCCUGGACAACUCCUGGCACUGAGGCACGAAAGCUAGGGGAGCAAACAGG
RNAcentral lists this ribosomal RNA (253 nucleotides) under uncultured bacterium. RNAcentral describes it as "partial 16S ribosomal RNA". It matches the Rfam family "Bacterial small subunit ribosomal RNA", at positions 524 to 776 of the family's 1533-position model. The record is from RNAcentral.